This 329-nucleotide ribosomal RNA is filed under the name uncultured Anaerolineaceae bacterium. RNAcentral describes it as "bacterial SSU rRNA". It matches the Rfam family "Bacterial small subunit ribosomal RNA", at positions 1039 to 1363 of the family's 1533-position model. The record is from RNAcentral. Lineage: Bacteria; Bacillati; Chloroflexota; Anaerolineae; Anaerolineales; Anaerolineaceae.
UGCUGCAUGGCUGUCGUCAGCUCGUGUCGUGAGAUGUCCGGUUAAGUCCGGUAACGAGCGCAACCCUCGCUGUGUGUUAUAUGUGUCACACGGGACUGCCGGUAUCAAGCCGGAGGAAGGUGGGGAUGACGUCAAGUCAGCAUGGCCUUUAUGUCUGGGGCUACACACACGCUACAAUGGCCAGUACAAUAGGUUGCAAGACCGCGAGGUGGAGCCAAUCCUUAAAGCUGGUCUCAGUUCGGAUUGCAGGCUGCAACUCGCCUGCAUGAAGUCGGAGUUGCUAGUAACCGCGCGUCAGCCAUAGUCGCGGUUCCGAAUGUUCCGGCCUU